GAGGAAGGAAAAUUUUAACCUUCAACAAUUGAAUUUGAAGUGAAGGGGCCUAUAAAACAUACAUCAUCUCCUCUGAUUUGAUUCACCUUGCAGAGAAGAUUCCUGCUCAUGAACUGUUAAUAUGACUUAGCCCAGUCAGAUCGGUUUCAUUUGUGUCCUACUUCAAAUCUUUAGGCUUUUCCAUCUGUCAAAAAUGCUUGGGCGGCUGAAUGAUAAAGUCUUGUUGCUAUGGUGAUUAGUUCCAUUACCUAGGUGACAGUGUUGGCAUGAUGUCAUCACUAAAGCAACCUAACUCCAGAAAUAUUUUUAGUGUCUGUUGCAGAUGAACUACAGUAAAAACACCAUCUAUCAAUGACCCCAAAUACCCAAGAGUAUUUGAAGGAUGCUUAUUUGUAACUAACAUAUGACAGAAUAAAAAUUUAAGUGCAAGUGCAAGAGAAGCUUAGGUAUUGAACUGUAGACCCUACAUAUUAGGCAAUUACUGUGUGAAUACUACAUCCAGCAAUCUCUCUUCAGAUAGCCACUGCUGCCAGAACUUAUUUGACAUUGCUCAAUAUAAAGGCAGUCUCCUACUCAGCCUACAGAAGAACUGCAAUUCUGUGUAAGAAAAAAAGUCCUGUGUAACUUAAUAUCGUGUGUACAGCUGCAGACAUAAAUGGAUGUUUAAGAAAGAGUAAGAACAAAAUUUCAAUAUAUCAAUAAAUGAUGCUCCCCUGUAAUGCUGUCUCA
This 729-nucleotide long non-coding RNA is filed under the name Anas platyrhynchos platyrhynchos (common mallard). Its description in RNAcentral is "lncRNA (ENSAPLG00000018052.1)". Lineage: Eukaryota; Metazoa; Chordata; Aves; Anseriformes; Anatidae. The record is from RNAcentral.